AACUACAUUUUAACCAUGUGAACAAACACAAUAUCAUGUGUCAUGGAAUUAUCCAAUAAGUAGUCAGCUAGAAGGAUACUUUUAGAAGGUUGCUUUCUAUGUAUAGCGAUAUAUGUAGAGGAGAGGUAAAACUCAAUACUGGGUAAUGUGCAAAUAUUAUCGUUUAAUAAAACACUAGAGUUGUCGUAGUCGCAAUAGACGGACUAGUAGUCAAUAAGCCUAUAACUCAUAUGUAGCAAGUAUGAAGCGAUGUAGGUAAUGCUAAACAAGGCUAUUUCUCGUGAAUACUCUGAAAAGAGGAUAUAAGACAUAACUAGGUUAAAGUAGCCCAAUGCGAGAUAAAAAGCAGGGAAAAUUUGGUAUUAGAUGAAUUUAAUACAAAACAUUAUCUGAAUGAUGUGGUGAAAUUUGCAAGUAGACAAUCUUGCACGAGCUAGAAAGGGGCAAGAAGUAUAAAGGUCGCUACUUUAUGCUCAGACUUGUUCUCUCGGUGGUUGAACAAUUAAAAAGAUAACUAUUUGUAAGGCGAAAGUCUAAAUGUAUUUUAUAU
This 550-nucleotide small RNA is filed under the name chicken gut metagenome. Its description in RNAcentral is "ROOL RNA". It matches the Rfam family "ROOL RNA". Rfam says of the family: Firmicutes, Fusobacteria (1 example), Tenericutes (1 example). The record is from RNAcentral.